CUCAGAUGAGGCUGUCCAGCACCUUCACCUGGGCCUUGCUGUUCAGUACAGCUGCCCUGGUUUCUACUGCACAGAACAAAGGGUAUAGGGACUGCGGCGGCCUCCUCACAGACCUGUCGGGCAGGAUCUCCAACUACAUCGGACCAAAAACUGUCUGUGUCUGGACCAUCCAGAUGACCCCAGGUCUCGAUGUUGCUAUGGCAAUA
This is a long non-coding RNA of Equus quagga, 206 nucleotides long. RefSeq lists it as uncharacterized. The transcript is spliced from 3 exons. Lineage: Eukaryota; Metazoa; Chordata; Mammalia; Perissodactyla; Equidae. The record is from RefSeq and is a predicted model, not a curated record.